Non-coding RNA from Gracilinanus agilis (Agile Gracile Mouse Opossum), 423 nucleotides. The record is from the annotation of a RefSeq genome assembly. NCBI's taxonomy places the organism in Eukaryota, Metazoa, Chordata, Mammalia, Didelphimorphia, Didelphidae.
AUGAGUGUGGGUUUAAUUGGAAUUUUUGUUCUUUCUAUUUUGCAAGGUUUCCAUUGUGAUAUUCAGCUCUUGGAGUCUGGAGAAGAUGUGAGACAGCCUGGAGGAUCCUUGAAACUCUCCUGCAAAGCUUCUGGAUUCACCUUCAGCAGCUAUGGCAUGCACUGGGUUCCCCAGGCUCCAGGGAAGGGACUAGAGUGGGUCUCAGUUGCUUGGUCUAAUGGCAAUACAAAUUAUGCAGACUCUGUGAAAGGCCGAUUCACCAUCUUCAGGGACAAUGGCAACAGCCUGAUGCACCUGCAGAUGAAUUCCCUGAAAGCUGAGGACACAGCCAUGUAUUACUGUGCAAGAGACACAGUGAGGGAAAGGAGUGAGAGAGCAGACAAAAACCUCCUCCUUCAGAAAGUUCUUAUGGAGAAUAACUGA